UCUCCGUAGGUGAACCCGCGGAGGGAUCAUUACAGAGUUCAUGCCCUACCGGGUAGAUCUCCCACCCUAUGUUAUUAUUACUUUGUUGCUUUGGCGGGCCGUUAGGCUCCGGCCCGACUACCGGCCCCGGCUGGUAAGCGCCCGCCAGAGGACCCAAAACCCUGAAUAUUAGUGUCGUCUGAGUACUAUAUAAUAGUUAAAACUUUCAACAACGGGUCUCUUGGUUCUG
This 229-nucleotide unclassified non-coding RNA is filed under the name plant metagenome. RNAcentral's name for it is "partial contains small subunit ribosomal RNA, internal transcribed spacer 1, and 5.8S ribosomal RNA". The record is from RNAcentral.